GACGAACGCUGGCGGCAUGCCUAAUACAUGCAAGUCGAGCGAACAGAUGAAGUGCUUGCACUUCUGACGUUAGCGGCGAACGGGUGAGUAACACGUAAGGAAUCUACCUAUAAGCGGGGGAUAACAUUCGGAAACGGAUGCUAAUACCGCAUAAUAUCUUCUUCCGUAUGGAAGAAGAUUGAAAGACGGCUCUGCUGUCCCUUGUAGAUGACCUUGCGGUGCAUUAGUUAGUUGGUGGGGUAACGGCCUACCAAGACGAUGAUGCAUAGCCGACCUGAGAGGGUGAUCGGCCACAUUGGGACUGAGACACGGCCCAAACUCCUACGGGAGGCAGCAGUAGGGAAUCUUCCGCAAUGGGCGAAAGCCUGACGGAGCAAUGCCGCGUGAGUGAAGAAGGCCUUCGGGUCGUAAAACUCUGUUAUAAGAGAAGAACAAAUUGUAGAGUAACUGCUACAGUCUUGACGGUAUCUUAUCAGAAAGCCACGGCUAACUACGUGCCAGCCGCCGCUGUAA
Molecule: ribosomal RNA, 513 nt
Filed under: uncultured bacterium
Lineage: Bacteria
Description: partial 16S ribosomal RNA
Rfam family: Bacterial small subunit ribosomal RNA
Source: RNAcentral